RNAcentral lists this long non-coding RNA (1593 nucleotides) under Felis catus (domestic cat). Its description in RNAcentral is "lncRNA (ENSFCAG00000041811.2)". Lineage: Eukaryota; Metazoa; Chordata; Mammalia; Carnivora; Felidae. The record is from RNAcentral.
GUCAGCUGGCUUCAGGGCGGGCCAGGGAGGAGACCCGGAAGUCCAAAGUCUGAAAUAGGUUAGCGUAUAUCAUAUGCCCUGGUAGAGAGAAUUUGGAUCCCCUAGCCCCGAGGGGCAAUUUUGGAGAAAUAGAGAGCCAGGCAGCCAGGCCAGUGAAAAGGCAGUAGGGGGAAAGAAUGCUGGGAUGGCGGUUGGGUGUCCCCUGUGAGUUCUGGCUUUGGCAGGGCGAUCCAUCUAGAGCAGAGCUUCCCCUCUCCGACCCAUUGUUGCUGUUGGAGCAUCGGGUCAGAUGACUCACCCGCAAAGUGCUUAGAACAGGCUCUAGAGCGUACCCAAUCACAUUAGACGUUCAUUAUCAUCACCACCCACCGGCCUCGUGAACGGAUCUAGAACCUUGAGAUAGAAGGGGUGCCGUCCCCAACUGCAUCCGCCUUGAAGUGCUCUCUACGUCUCCUUUGCUUCUGAGGUGGAGCACUUUUCUGCUUCUCUUCCCACCUGCCAGGUCCUGCUGGCCGUUGUGGUUUGUGGCACCUGUGUCCUCUGGCUGGGCGUCGACUGUCAGUUCUCCCCUGGGCUCUGUCUUGGGCCCCUACUCUUCUGCCCUCGUACCUCUGCUUAUGCCAUCGCAUCCUCCCCGAGUCUUUGAUGAUUUGUCCCUCUCUGAUGGCCGCAGUACCACAGCUCCAGCCCACAUCUUCCACGUUUCAGGACUUUUCCAGGACAUUGCAGGCAAACGGAGCGACAUGUAGAACAGCAGAAGCAAGGAACUGCAGAACUCGUUAAUUCAAAUGCAACAUGGCGAGGUUCCAUAGCAGCCCACGUGGACGUUGUGAGGGUAAAAAAGGAGGAAAUGCAUUUUACAUACAUAAGGUACUACUAACAAGAAUAUGCGUUUAAAGUUCCUAGAUGCAUGCCCCAACAAUAACUGUGGUAUCUGCAUGGAUUUCAUUAGGGCUUUUCCUGCGAAGAGUGUAAAACUCUUAAAUAUAUCAUAAAAUAUUAUUGGCAGUGGUGUUAGGAGAGGAAAUUAGUCACCAAACAAAACAGACAAGAAAACCGUGAAACCUGACAAGGACAGUGUGUUGGAGUUAGGGGAUAUCCAACGGAGGGUGAGAUCAGCCUCACCCAAAGAAAGGUGAGAAUUUGCCUGACAGAUGGGAAUCCAAAGAGCGGGAGGAGAGGGAGCUCAUUCAGGUAGAUGGAACGACAUGUAUAACCAUGCGGGGGCAUGAAACGGGCCACAUUCUCUUUGAUCGGUAAUUAUGCCUAUACAUAGAAAAUUGCAUAGACCAUUCAAACAAGUUUGAGGUCUUGGUUUUCUCUCUCAGAGGGUUUAUAACGUAACUGAAUAGGUCAGGUGCAAGUAUGGGAAGAAGAUAUUGACAAUAUGUGAUGGAAGCCUGAUAACAUAAAUUUUGUCGGAUGAAUGAAUGAUGACAGGAUGUGCUGAAUGCCAAAUGGCUGAUGCCAACUGUGAGAUCUUCAAGGGGCACAGGGCAGGGGAUAUUCAUUUUUGGAUGGGUGCUAUGACCUGACUUCUUUUACCACUGUCAUCCUGCUGCCGGGUGGAAAAUAAAAUAUAAAAGGGAGGCA